AAACUUAUCUUAAGGUUCCCUAUCCUAUUGAUCUCAAACCCCAAACCUCUCUUAAGACAUAUACACACAGACAUACGUACACAGGCAAAACACUCUAUUCAUAAAAUCUAUCCUGUAGCAAAAGUCGAUUUGAUAUUCCGUCGUACUUGAACAUUUGAACGUAGAGAUUAUGGUUCAACCUUUGAUGCAACGUUUACCUUGAAUUCGUCGCGUAUCGUCAUUCUGUGUUUUUCCUUUACCUCGUACAUAUCUUUCCAUUCCUCUUUGUAGUUCAAAAGAAUCAUUGUUUUCUUGAGGGAGCUGAAAUGCUCUAAGUUCUCUUUCAUUCUUCUACAUCAUCACCUUAAGAAUCUAGAUUAUAGAGAUAUCCUACUAAUCUAGUAGUCUAUGUUCUUUUUGAAAUUGUGAUCAUGCAACUUAUAGC
RNAcentral lists this long non-coding RNA (424 nucleotides) under Salvia miltiorrhiza (redroot sage). Its description in RNAcentral is "long non-coding RNA (SMIL_LNC002359)". Lineage: Eukaryota; Viridiplantae; Streptophyta; Magnoliopsida; Lamiales; Lamiaceae. The record is from RNAcentral.